GCGUUGUUCGGAAUCACUGGGCGUAAAGCGCACGUAGGCGGAUGUGUCAGUCAGGGGUGAAAUCCCGGAGCUCAACUUCGGAACUGCCUUUGAUACAGCACGUCUUGAGUCCGAUAGAGGUGGGUGGAAUUCCUAGUGUAGAGGUGAAAUUCGUAGAUAUUAGGAAGAACACCGGUGGCGAAGGCGGCCCACUGGAUCGGUACUGACGCUGAGGUGCGAAAGCGUGGGGAGCAAACAGG
RNAcentral lists this ribosomal RNA (239 nucleotides) under uncultured bacterium. RNAcentral's name for it is "partial 16S ribosomal RNA". It matches the Rfam family "Bacterial small subunit ribosomal RNA", at positions 538 to 776 of the family's 1533-position model. The record is from RNAcentral.